This 440-nucleotide ribosomal RNA is filed under the name uncultured bacterium. Its description in RNAcentral is "partial 16S ribosomal RNA". It matches the Rfam family "Bacterial small subunit ribosomal RNA", at positions 338 to 795 of the family's 1533-position model. The record is from RNAcentral.
CCUACGGGAGACAGCAGUGGGGAAUAUUGCACAAUGGGGGAAACCCUGAUGCAGCGACGCCGCGUGAGUGAAGAAGUAAUUCGUUAUGUAAAGCUCUAUCAGCAGGGAAGAAAAUGACGGUACCUGAGUAAGAAGCCCCGGAUAACGACGGGGCAGCAGCCUCAGUCAUAUGUAGGGGGCAAGAGUUUUCCGGAUGUACUGGUUGUAAAGGGAGCGUGGACGGCAGUGCAAGUCUGGAGUGAAAGGCGGGGGCUCAACCCCCGGACUGCUCUUGAAACUGGACGGCUGGAGUGCAGGAGAGGUAGGUGGAAUUCCUAGUGUAGCGGUGAAAUGCGUAGAUAUUAGGAGGAACACCAGUGGCGAAGGCGGCUUACUGGACUGUAACUGACGGUGAGGCUCGAAAGCGUGGGGAGCAAACAGGAUUAGAUACCCCUGUAGUC